GUUGGUAUAAUUAUUCUGCUCAAGAAUUCUUCUAUUGCUAUCGUUGCUUUCAAAAGCUUUGAAAGGGGUAGCAGGUAUAGGAGUAUUCUUGUGUUCAAUAAUUAUGGUAUCAACUGGAGGGUGACUGGAUUCUACAACAGACUUAUCUAUCAUUUUUCAUUUUUCUUUAGUCAAAGUUUUAAACUCAUCAUUAGACAUAUAGCGGCUUUCUACAAAGUCAAGGUAGAAAAUUUCAACUUUGGCUGACCGCAUAUAAUCUUUCCAUUCUUUAAAAAUUUCUUGGCGAGUUUUGCUAUCAGGAAAGACUUGGUGAUAACUUUCUCUUCUGGACAGGUUCUCAGGGGCUUUGAGAUGACUGUCUAAAUGAGCCCAAUCAAUUUUAAACUUUCUAUUAAGGGUUCUUAGUUGGUUAUCAACUGUGGCAUAGUUUUCGACUACAAAAUCAGAUUGUGUAGGUGAUUCGGGUGACUCAGAAUUAUCUUCUCGAACUGGAGCCUUGCCAUAGCAGGGCUGGGUUACCUGAGAGGAUUUUCUCAGGGACUCAAGUUUGAA
RNAcentral lists this long non-coding RNA (552 nucleotides) under Prunus persica (peach). RNAcentral describes it as "long non-coding RNA (PPER_LNC007968)". The record is from RNAcentral. Lineage: Eukaryota; Viridiplantae; Streptophyta; Magnoliopsida; Rosales; Rosaceae.